AAAACUUUUUGAAAGUUCAAGCAUCAAUUGGUCAGUUUUUUUGUACGAUGUAUUAAGUGAAAAAUAGUGUAAAGUGCAUUGUAUUUUUUUAUCAAUUUUACUAUCACUUCUCUCUCUCAUUUCUCUCUUCGAAUUCAAAACUGCAUUCUCUCUCUCUCUCUCUCGUUUCACUUCGCUUCGCUUCGUGUUCAGUUGUUCUUCAACUCGACGAACUCGUGAGUUCAUUUUCUUUCAAUUACCUUUAAAUUAUAUUGAAUUUUACUUGAUUGAUGAUGAUAAUUUUGUAGAAUUAGGCUUUCAUUAAACAUGUUUUUGUUCUAGAUUUGAAUCUUCAAGUUGAAUUUACUAUUUUAUUUUACAAUCACAUGUAAUUAAGGUAUGAUUUCUUACAAUUGUUUGAAUUCACAUUGAUUCAUGUCAAUUUGAUAGAAAAUUAGGGUUUUAUAUUAAUUUGUUUCAAUUUCGUGUUUUCAGCAUGAGAUUUGUUGCCAUAAUGGUCAAUUUUCAUCAGAUUAGGUUUUCUAGAGCAAUCUAUUCUAAAUAAACAGUUUGUAAGAUUAUACAUGUUUAAGAUGCAAUUUAUCUUUAUUACUCUUUCAAUUAGUGUUUAAUUUUUCAUACGCCUGUUUUAAUUUAUUGGAAUUAGCUUUCUGUUUGAAUUCCAGUCUAAUUAACUAAGUUUUGAUUUGUUUUAUGUAUCUUUAUUAAGUUUUUUUUAUGUAAGUGAUCCAACUUGAUGUUGUGUGGAUGUUGGGAACUGUAGAAACAUGUCUGUCUGGUUUGAGGGAAUGGCAAUGGUAGAAGAAGAUGAUAUGUUGGAAAGAUAUCUUAGAAGGCUGAAGCAAUUGGAAGAAGGUCAAGAAAGGAUCUUUGUAGAAAGCUUAGGUACUAAAUGAGAACAUGCAAAAGCUGCUUAUAAGACUGAUUUGGGAUAGAUAGCAAGAAGACGAAAGAUGUUGAAUCUGUUAUUGUAAGUAAAAAGCAAAAUAAUUCUUAAAGGUAUUUAAACAUUUUGUCCAAAACUAGCUUUUGAUUACCUUAGUAAAGUGUUGGAAAUAAGCUGGAGAUUUAAAUUUUAUGCAUAUUAUUUUUAGGUCAAUCUAUCUUUUUUUGUCGAUAAACUAGAUAAUCAAGACUACAGUGAAACCCCAAGCAAUGAGGAGCAUCGUAGAACAUUGAUUGAUAGUCCUAGUGGAGUUAAAAAAUUAAGAGGAGUCCAUCAAAAAGAGGUUGUCUUAUUUCUGACUACUGCAAUAGCUUAUCACUUUUUGUUGGCUUUAAUUACAACCCCUGUGUAUGUCGUAGUAAUCGCUUGUGCCACCGUUGGUGUAGUCAAUACUUUUGUUAUAAUCAGAGGUGUGUUUUUUAGGUUGUUUGGUA
This 1380-nucleotide long non-coding RNA is filed under the name Aquilegia coerulea. RNAcentral describes it as "long non-coding RNA (ACOE_LNC000017)". The record is from RNAcentral. Lineage: Eukaryota; Viridiplantae; Streptophyta; Magnoliopsida; Ranunculales; Ranunculaceae.